GAAUCUUGCGCAAUGGAGGAAACUCUGACGCAGCCACGCCGCGUGCUGGAAGACGGCCCUAUGGGUUGUAAACAGCUUUUACUGAGGAAGAACCUGGACCUUUCGAGGACCACUGACGGUACCCAGUGAAUAAGCACCGGCUAACUCCGUGCCAGCAGCCGCGGUAAUACGGAGGGUGCAAGCGUUGUCCGGAAUCAUUGGGUGUAAAGGGUGUGCAGGCGGAAGUCUAAGUCGGAGGUGAAAUCUUGCCGCUUAACGGUAAAAGGGCCUUCGAAACUGGAUUUCUUGAGUUCGGAAGAGGUUGGUGGAAUUCGUGGUGUAGCGGUGAAAUGCAUAGAUAUCACGAAGAACACCGGUGGCGAAGGCGGCCAACUGGUCCGAUACUGACGCUGAGACACGAAAGCGUGGGGAGCGAACAGG
RNAcentral lists this ribosomal RNA (420 nucleotides) under uncultured bacterium. RNAcentral's name for it is "bacterial SSU rRNA". It matches the Rfam family "Bacterial small subunit ribosomal RNA", at positions 359 to 776 of the family's 1533-position model. The record is from RNAcentral.